AUACGGGGGGAGCAAGCGUUGUCCGGAAUCAUUGGGCGUAAAGGGCACGUAGGCGGUUUCUUAAGUCGAAUGUGAAAUCUCACGGCUCAACCGUGAAACUGCGUUCGAAACUAAGUGACUUGAGUUUGGGAGAGGUGUACGGAAUUCCUGGUGUAGCGGUGGAAUGCGUAGAUAUCAGGAAGAACACCAAUGGCGAAGGCAGUACACUGGCCUGAAUCUGACGCUGAGGUGCGAAAGCGUGGGGAGCAAACAGGAGUAGAAACCCCAGUAGUCC
Molecule: ribosomal RNA, 274 nt
Filed under: uncultured bacterium
Lineage: Bacteria
Description: partial 16S ribosomal RNA
Rfam family: Bacterial small subunit ribosomal RNA
Source: RNAcentral